RNAcentral lists this ribosomal RNA (532 nucleotides) under uncultured Planctomycetota bacterium. Its description in RNAcentral is "bacterial SSU rRNA". It matches the Rfam family "Bacterial small subunit ribosomal RNA", at positions 1 to 590 of the family's 1533-position model. The record is from RNAcentral. Lineage: Bacteria; Pseudomonadati; Planctomycetota.
UGAGUUUGAUUCUGGCUCAGAACGAACGCUGGCGGCAUGCCUAACACAUGCAAGUCGAACGCUAUUUAUAGAGUGGCGCACGGGUGAGUAACGCGUGGGAACCUGCCUUUUUCUGCGGGAUAACGGUUGGAAACGACCGCUAAUACCGCAUACGCCCUACGGGGGAAAGGUCCGCCGGGGAAAGAGGGGCCCGCGUCUGAUUAGCUAGUUGGUGGGGUAAUGGCCUACCAAGGCGACGAUCAGUAGCUGGUCUGAGGGGACGAUCAGCCACACUGGGACUGAGACACGGCCCAGACUCCUACGGGAGGCAGCAGUGGGGAAUAUUGGACAAUGGGGGCAACCCUGAUCCAGCAAUGCCGCGUGUGUGAUGAAGGCCUUAGGGUUGUAAAGCACUUUCACUGGUGAAGAUGAUGACGGUAACCAGAGAAGAAGCCCCGGCUAACUUCGUGCCAGCAGCCGCGGUAAUACGAAGGGGGCGAGCGUUGUUCGGAAUUACUGGGCGUAAAGGGCGCGUAGGCGGUCGUUUAAGUUA